UCUGAUUUCUGAAGCGGACAGGAACCGCCACCUUUCCCUCCGGCUUCUGCGUUCGAGGAAUCGCGGCGUACAGUUAGAGAUAGAGAGAGGGAGAGAGUGAGAUAGAGGGAGAGAGUGCCGCAAAUUGCAUGCUAUCUAGACGGAGAAAUGGUGAUGCCGGAGUCAUCGGAGCGCCACCGGACUGUGUCUCGUCGACCGCAUGGACCGGCGAUUCGGCCGGUAGCAGGAGCUAGGGUUCCGCUAAGACGGUUACUCCGCGUGGCAUCUGUGGCGUCUGGAAUUCAAUUCGGUUGGGCUUUGCAGCUCUCUCUUCUGACUCCUUAUAUUCAAGAGCUCGGUAUUCCUCAUGCUUGGUCUAGUCUCAUAUGGCUCUGCGGACCGCUUUCCGGCCUCUUCGUGCAGCCGCUGGCUGGCCACAUGAGCGAUCGCUGCACCAGCCGACAUGGCCGUCGGAGGCCCUUCAUCGUCGCUGGAGCAGUUUCCAUCGUAAUCGCCGUUUUGAUAAUCGGUCACUCGGCGGACCUCGGUUGGUUGAUUGGAGACAGAGGUGGUGUUAGGCAUCGUGCGAUUGGAUUCUUUGUGGUUGGAUUUUGGCUUCUGGACGUGGCUAACAACUUCUCACAGGGUCCUUGUAGAGCUCUGCUCGCCGAUCUUACCGGUAAGGAUCAUCGGAGGAAUCGAGUGGCAAAUGCUUAUUUUUCUCUAUUUAUAGCUAUUGGUAAUGUUUUUGGAUAUGCGACAGGAUCUUUUAGUGGCUGGUACAAGAUUUUGCCGUUUACUCUUACCAAUGCGUGUUCUGUUAAUUGUGCAAAUCUCAAGUCAGCUUUCUUGAUUGAUAUUGUGUUCAUUGCAAUUACAACAUACUUGAGUGUAUCAGCUGUUCAAGAGUUGCCUCUAGAUUCAAGUGACAGGUCCUCCCUGGUUGUGGAAGAAGGUAUGGGGCAGUCAAAUCAUGCUUCAGAAGCUUUCCUCUGGGAGUUGUUUCGGACUUUUAGAUACUUUUCAGGGUAUAUGUGGGUAAUUUUGCUUGUCACUUCCCUCACAUGGAUAGGAUGGUUUCCAUUUACUCUCUUUGAUACUGAUUGGAUGGGUAGAGAGAUUUAUGGUGGCAAGCCAAAUGAAGGACAGAGUUAUAACUCUGGAGUCAGAAUGGGAGCAUUUGGUCUGAUGUUGAAUUCUGUCGUCCUUGGAAUAACUUCAUUACUUAUGGAGAAGCUGUGCAGAAAGUGGGGUGCUGGUUUUGUAUGGGGAAUUUCUAAUAUUUUUAUGGCUCUAUGUUUCCUUGCUAUGCUGGUUCUUACGUAUGUGGCAAAAAAUAUGGGCUAUAUAGGCCAUGAUUUCCCACCAAAUAGUAUCGUAUCAGCUGCAUUGAUUAUCUUUGCCCUUCUUGGCGCUCCUUUGGCAAUUACUUACAGUGUUCCGUAUGCCAUGAUCUGCUCACGUGUUGAAUCCUUACAACUUGGUCAAGGGUUGUCCGUGGGUGUCUUGAACUUAGCAGUAGUUAUUCCACAGGUGACUCUGGUCCUACAUUAUCUUUUUCUUAAGUUUUUUUUGCUCUGCGAGGGCGAAGUGAUAUCAACAUUUUCCUUUAAAGGAGUUUUCUCUUAACCUAUUAAAUACCCAUAGAAAAUAUAUAAUGUGUAUGCCUAGGACAGAACAUUGAUUUGGAUUCUUCUCUUUUUUUUUUAAUUGAAAUUUACUUUUGAUAGCGAUCCAAAUGAGUUGUUUGCUGGUCCUUGACCAAACUUAUCUAUGGUUUCCAAUAUUUCGAGGGUGGAUGUUCAAUCUGAUAACAGGAUUUAAGCUGAAUAAAAGUCUUAAAUAUGUGACAAUUAGAGAGAUGCUCUAGACAAUUGAGCUUGAGGGAGCGACAUCAUUUCAUCCUAUAGACAGACAUAGUCAGAGUAAACAGGUCUAUAAAUAUAUAUUUUUUCAUUUUUAAUAUUUAUUGACCUCUUGUGUCCGCAACCUCUUUUUCAUUUAUGUUAAGGUCUAAGGAGGAGGAGCAUAUGAGAAGGGAAUGUAUUGAAUAUCAUGUUAUACAUGAGAGAGUUGCCUGUAUUUUAAAUUAUUAUUUCAUGAGAGGGUAUAGAGUAUGCAAUUAUUUGUGGAAAAUGUUUCCUUUCUAAUUUUCCCUAUGAUUUGAUGACAUUAUUUUUUUUUCCUUUCCAUCAUUAUUUGAGGGAAUUUUUCUUUUCUAAUUUGUCCCAUUGUCUGCAAUGUUGCAAUCUUGAAGGACGUAGAAAUUUUUUGAUCUUUGUUUAGACUCAAUAGUUGGUUUUACACAAAUUUUGUACUUAUACUGUUUUUUUUAAUAUAUAUGUAUAUAUAUCCAACUGAAUAAAAAUCAUGUAUGAAAUGCACGAAAACCCCUAUAGUUGGGGAAGAGGUACAAUUGCAUUUCACUUGGAAAACAGAGAGUUUGCUGACCUUGUAUUUGCAAGAAGGAAAAUACGGAAGGUCUUAUCCUGAACUAAUGAAGGAACAUUACAGUUCGUGUGCUCCGUGUUUAGUCAUUUGACCAAAGUAUGUCUAAUUUGGACCGGCCUUUUUUGGGACAUAUCAAGACAAGAUUUUUCUUGAAAAUCCAGUGGUGGAUAUCCCUGUAGGCUGUUAGCCAGUUCACUUUUUGUCUGGGGAAAAUAUUUUAGGGGAUGCAGAUGAAAUACAUUUCCAUUUGGAAGAAAUCGCAGGGAGAGGAUUAGAGUUUGUCCAUAUCGAAAGUCCUGCAUUCACUUUUCAACAUGUAAUGGAUGAUAAUAUAAAUGAGAUAAUUUGACAAAAUAUUUUGUUUUUUCUUCAAAACUUUUUUGAUCGCUAGUGGACCUCCCUGUAGGAUUCAAUCCAGCCGAAAGAUUUGGCUGUUGCCUUAGGUAACAUUGUCAGAAACAUAUUUUGAUCUGAAGAUAUGGUGGACUUUGAGGGCCAUGGCAGUAAAAGAUUUUAACCUUUAACAAGGAAGCAUAAGUUGAACAUUUUUCUCUUUUCAUAAACAUGUGCCUCAUGGUUGGUGGAUUUUUUUUUUCUUUUCUUUUUCUAAUUUCUUUCUCUUCUUCUUUUGAGAAUCUGUUGCUUGAUAUAAUUAUUCUAUUCACUUUAAUUUCAAUUCCAUGCUUGUUUGAAAAAAAACAAAACAGAAAUGGUAUUUCUGGAAGCCAUAUAUUCUACCUAUACAUAUAUCAUUCAACUUUGCUUUUUAUAUGAAGGGGUCUUCUCUUUAGAGCUAAAAGUCAUGUAUAAUACAAAAAUUGAGAUCUCAAUUGAAAUCUUUUGCUGUGUUGUGAUGGGUAUCUCAAUUUUCUGGGUGAACUGUGCAUUUUAUAAUCUAAAUUUUGAGGAAGGGAUAGAUAGAGUUUUGUCAUAAUUAUGAUGGUCUAGGUUUCUGUGACUAAAAGGUAAAACCAGUUUAGCGUUCUGCAGAAUAAUCGUGUCUCACAAAGCCGUUUAUUUUCUUGGUCCCAUACGUUGUGCUUCUGUCUGCCUCAGAACAGAAGAGCAGGGUGGGGCUGGGUGCUGUGUUGAGAGACGUAAUUGCGUGAGACAUUCUGAAGACUCGAGCUUGUUUGAGAUUGCACUCUACUUUUCUUUUCUUUUCUUUUCUUUUCUUUUCUUUUCUUUUUCAUGUAUAUAUAUAUAUAUGUGUGACAAACCGAGGCUUGAUCUUAAAUAAUAAAGUCAAAUAUUUAGCCUCUAGUGCAUGUUAUGUCCUGAAAAUAUUGUGGAUGCAGUUAUACUUGCAAUCCGAUAUUCUACCAACGGAUGGACUGUAUUGUCUGGUAUUAACAAAAUUUUCAAAUUAAAAUAUCCCUUGAUCUAAUAUAUGUAACCUGCUAGUUCAAUCACAAUAAUUGGUUCUUAAAUCAAUUUUCAGUCAAUAAAUGAGCUCUCAUGUGGAAAACGUUAUGGUUGUGGUGUCCCUGGGAAGUGGACCAUGGGAUCAGCUGUUUGGUGGUGGAAACUCUCCAGCUUUUGCUGUGGCAGCACUUGCAGCCU
This is a non-coding RNA of Momordica charantia (bitter melon), 3993 nucleotides long. The record is from RefSeq and is a predicted model, not a curated record. NCBI's taxonomy places the organism in Eukaryota, Viridiplantae, Streptophyta, Magnoliopsida, Cucurbitales, Cucurbitaceae.